This 640-nucleotide unclassified non-coding RNA is filed under the name Malassezia sympodialis. RNAcentral's name for it is "sequence contains 18S rRNA gene, ITS1, 5.8S rRNA gene, ITS2, 28S rRNA gene". The stretch from base 205 to 358 matches the Rfam family "5.8S ribosomal RNA". Lineage: Eukaryota; Fungi; Basidiomycota; Malasseziomycetes; Malasseziales; Malasseziaceae. The record is from RNAcentral.
GUAACAAGGUUUCUGUAGGUGAACCUGCAGAAGGAUCAUUAGUGAAAGUUUCGGGCCUGCCAUACGGACGCAAACACGUCUCUGGCGCCCAUCACUAUAUCCAUACCAACCCCUGUGCACUGUGAUGACGAAUGUCAUCGAACAAAAAAAACUCGUAUGGUUGAAUGUACGUGAAAUUGUAGGUAUAGCCUACGAACUAUACACAACUUUCGACAACGGAUCUCUUGGUUCUCCCAUCGAUGAAGAACGCAGCGAAACGCGAUAGGUAAUGUGAAUUGCAGAAUUCCGUGAAUCAUCGAAUCUUUGAACGCACCUUGCGCUCCAUGGUAUUCCGUGGAGCAUGCCUGUUUGAGUGCCGCGAAUUCUCCCUCCCCUUACGGUGGCCGAAAGGCCGAAGUAGGGCGGACGGGGUAGGAUGGGUGUUGCUGCCUGGGGAUUGUACCAGGCUCGCCCGAAAUGCAUAAGCGCCAGGACCCUCGCUACCGCUCUCUAGGGAAGAGUGGCUAAGCGACCGCUGAGCAUGGCAUGAUACGUCAUUUGCUGUGUGUGGGCGGCCGGUUGGAGAGGUGUCUGCUUUACCAGCCCUUUUUUAAUUCUGGUCUCAAAUCAGGUAGGAUCACCCGCUGAACCUAAGCAUAUC